UACGUAGGGUGCGAGCGUUGUCCGGAAUUAUUGGGCGUAAAGGGCUCGUAGGCGGUCUGUCGCGUCGGGAGUGAAAACUCAGGGCUUAACCCUGAGCCUGCUUCCGAUACGGGCAGACUAGAGGUAUGCAGGGGAGAACGGAAUUCCUGGUGUAGCGGUGAAAUGCGCAGAUAUCAGGAGGAACACCGGUGGCGAAGGCGGUUCUCUGGGCAUUACCUGACGCUGAGAAGCGAAAGCAUGGGGAGCGAACAGG
This 253-nucleotide ribosomal RNA is filed under the name uncultured bacterium. Its description in RNAcentral is "partial 16S ribosomal RNA". It matches the Rfam family "Bacterial small subunit ribosomal RNA", at positions 524 to 776 of the family's 1533-position model. The record is from RNAcentral.